UCCGGACGUGGCGGGCGCCGCUGCGGCGCUCGACCGCGCCAAGGGUGUCCUGCGCACCAAGGUCGGUGCCGGGACCGGUGUCCGGUAC
Molecule: transfer RNA, 88 nt
Filed under: Mycolicibacterium tokaiense
Lineage: Bacteria; Bacillati; Actinomycetota; Actinomycetes; Mycobacteriales; Mycobacteriaceae
Description: tRNA-Glu
Source: RNAcentral